CCCAUGGCUCAGAUUGAACGCUGGCGGCAGGCCUAACACAUGCAAGUCGAGCGGCAGCACGGGUACUUGUACCUGGUGGCGAGCGGCGGACGGGUGAGUAAUGCCUAGGAAUCUGCCUGGUAGUGGGGGAUAACGCUCGGAAACGGACGCUAAUACCGCAUACGUCCUACGGGAGAAAGCAGGGGACCUUCGGGCCUUGCGCUAUCAGAUGAGCCUAGGUCGGAUUAGCUAGUUGGUGAGGUAAUGGCUCACCAAGGCGACGAUCCGUAACUGGUCUGAGAGGAUGAUCAGUCACACUGGAACUGAGACACGGUCCAGACUCCUACGGGAGGCAGCAGUGGGGAAUAUUGGACAAUGGGCGAAAGCCUGAUCCAGCCAUGCCGCGUGUGUGAAGAAGGUCUUCGGAUUGUAAAGCACUUUAAGUUGGGAGGAAGGGCAGUAAAUUAAUACUUUGCUGUUUUGACGUUACCGACAGAAUAAGCACCGGCUAACU
RNAcentral lists this ribosomal RNA (493 nucleotides) under Pseudomonas sp. CL4.45. Its description in RNAcentral is "bacterial SSU rRNA". It matches the Rfam family "Bacterial small subunit ribosomal RNA", at positions 16 to 502 of the family's 1533-position model. Lineage: Bacteria; Pseudomonadati; Pseudomonadota; Gammaproteobacteria; Pseudomonadales; Pseudomonadaceae. The record is from RNAcentral.